GGCCCAGGAACACUAUGAGGAGAUGCUGGUUCUCCUGUAGCUGCUCCUCUUUAGGUGACCCUGGUGAGUGAUGGUGGUUUGGGGACUGUGAUGGAAGCUAUGACCCACUUCAUUUAAAAUCAUCCCUGAAGAUUGGCCAGAACCAUCCUGGAUUCAUUUCUGAGUGAGACACAUGGCUGCCGCCCUAUUUUCUUCCCUAGGCCUUGGAUCUUGGAUCUGAGGCUUCUUUUUGAAUCCUGUCAGCCCUGUUAGCAUUUAGAAUUCCUAAUAUUUUUUCUAAAAUAAACUCUUAGUCAAGAGGAUCUCUCUUCCCUCUAUGUUUCCUUCUAACAUCAAUUUUCUAAAAUUCCAAGAGUAGUCUGUCUCACCUCUGUCCUUAGAUUCUAUUUUCUACAUGUGGCAGUGGCAAUGGCAAUGUUUGUGCAUUUUACACAGCUCCUUGGAGAUCUUCUGCCCAUCUUUUCUAUUAGUUUGUUCAUUCUGGGAGUGUGGAGGAAAGGGGCUGGGCCAAGCUGGCUUUCAGAGUGGGGACAGUACUUCUUCCUCAUGGUGAAAUUGCAGGGUGUGUGUGUGACGGGGU
Molecule: small RNA, 580 nt
Filed under: Pongo abelii (Sumatran orangutan)
Lineage: Eukaryota; Metazoa; Chordata; Mammalia; Primates; Hominidae
Description: retained intron
Source: RNAcentral